GAAAUGCGAUAAGUACUGUGAAUUGCAGAAUUCAGUGAAUCAUCGAAUCUUUGAACGCACCUUGCGCUCCUUGGUAUUCCUUGGAGCAUGCCUGUUUGAGUAUCAUGAAAUCUUCAAAGUAAAUCUUUUGUUAACUCAAUUGGUUUCUACUUUGGUAUUGGAGGUCUUUGCAGCUUCACACCUGCUCCUCUUUGUUCAUUAGCUGGAUCUCAGUGUUAUGCUUGGUUCCACUCGGCGUGAUAAGUUAUCUAUCGCUGAGGACACUGUAAAAGGUGGCCAAGGUAAAUGCAGAUGAACCGCUUCUAAUAGUCCAUUGACUUGGACAAUACUUUUAUGAUCUGAUCUCAAAUCAGGUAGGACUACCCGCUGAACUUAAGC
Molecule: unclassified non-coding RNA, 378 nt
Filed under: plant metagenome
Description: partial contains 5.8S ribosomal RNA, internal transcribed spacer 2, and large subunit ribosomal RNA
Rfam family: 5.8S ribosomal RNA (bases 1-105)
Source: RNAcentral